GGGCGUGUAACUCAGCGGGAGAGUAUUACCUUCACACGGUAGGAGCCACAGGUUCGAAUCCUGUCACGCCCA
This 72-nucleotide transfer RNA is filed under the name Deltaproteobacteria bacterium. RNAcentral describes it as "tRNA-Val". It matches the Rfam family "tRNA". Rfam says of the family: Transfer RNA (tRNA) molecules are approximately 80 nucleotides in length. The record is from RNAcentral. Lineage: Bacteria; Pseudomonadati; Myxococcota; Myxococcia.